GGAGGGCAUCUGAUGAGGAACAAAGAUCCGUCGCUUGCGGAGUGGGGAUGCGUCUGAUUUAGUUAGUCGGCGGGGUAACGGCCCACCGAGACGACGAUCAGGUAGGGUUCUGAGAGGAAAGUCCCCCACAUUGGAACUGAGACACGGUCCAAACUCCUACGGGAGGCAGCAGUGAGGAAUAUUGGUCAAUGGGCGGAAGCCUGAACCAGCCAAGUAGCGUGCAGGACGACGGCCCUAUGGGUUGUAAACUGCUUUUAUGCGGGGAUAAAGUGGGCCACGCGUGGCCUUUUGCAGGUACCGCAUGAAUAAGGACCGGCUAAUUCCGUG
This 327-nucleotide ribosomal RNA is filed under the name uncultured bacterium. RNAcentral's name for it is "bacterial SSU rRNA". It matches the Rfam family "Bacterial small subunit ribosomal RNA", at positions 184 to 507 of the family's 1533-position model. The record is from RNAcentral.